Molecule: ribosomal RNA, 254 nt
Filed under: uncultured bacterium
Lineage: Bacteria
Description: partial 16S ribosomal RNA
Rfam family: Bacterial small subunit ribosomal RNA
Source: RNAcentral
GACGUAGGGUGCGAGCGUUGUCCGGAAUUAUUGGGCGUAAAGAGCUCGUAGGCGGUGUGUCGCGUCGGCCGUGAAAACCUGCAGCUUAACUGUGGGCGUGCGGUCGAUACGGGCAUCACUGGAGUUCGGCAGGGGAGACUGGAAUUCCUGGUGUAGCGGUGAAAUGCGUAGAUAUCGAGAGGAACACCUGCGGCGAAGGCGGGUUGCUGGGCCGACACUGACGCUGAUGCGCGAAAGCCAGGGGAGCGAACGGG